Molecule: ribosomal RNA, 250 nt
Filed under: uncultured bacterium
Lineage: Bacteria
Description: partial 16S ribosomal RNA
Rfam family: Bacterial small subunit ribosomal RNA
Source: RNAcentral
UACGUAUGGGGCAAGCGUUGUUCGGAAUUAUUGGGCGUAAAGGGCGUGUAGGCGGUUUUGUAAGCCUGGUGUUAAAUUUUUCGGCUUAACCGAAAAAGUGCGCUGGGAACUGCGAGACUAGAGUUUUGGAAGGGAAGCUGGAAUUCCAGGUGUAGGGGUGAAAUCUGUAGAUAUCUGGAAGAACACCAAAGGCGAAGGCAAGCUUCUGGCCAAGGACUGACGCUGAGGCGCGAAAGCGUGGGGAGCAAAC